Dromaius novaehollandiae (emu) is the source of this 909-nucleotide long non-coding RNA. RefSeq lists it as uncharacterized. Lineage: Eukaryota; Metazoa; Chordata; Aves; Casuariiformes; Dromaiidae. The transcript is spliced from 2 exons. The record is from RefSeq and is a predicted model, not a curated record.
CGCCCCGCCGCUCCGCCCGCCGGCUGCUGCGAGCGGGCAGCUCCGGGGCUGCCCGGGUCCCAGGGUGCACGGCGAGCCCCGGGUCGGUCUGGGUCCCCCGGUGCACGGUGAGCCCCGGGCCGGUCGGUGUCCCCGGUGCACGGCGAGCCCCGGGGAUGGUUUGGGUCCCCCGGUGCACGGCGAGCCCCGGGGUCGGUCGGUGUCCCCCGGUGCACGGCGAGCCCCGGGCCGGUGUGGGAGCCCCGGCGCACGGGGUCGCGGCCGUUGUUUUCCCUCCGAGAAGAUUUCCAGAGUUCAUUCCACCCGGAGGAAAACCUCUGGGCUUGCAGAGAAGCUGCAUGCGUUUCGCAGAAACCCUAGCGCUGAGUGGGCUCAACCUCCACGGACAACAUCUACGGGUGGGAGAGCACCAAGAGCUCCAUCCCCGGUGGGGUUGGAGGGACGGGCUGGACACCACGGGCAGGGGUGGGGUGGAGGACGUCAGCCCUCCCGCCCACGGAAGGAUGGGCCACAUUGCUGGAUUUCCACCUUUUCAAACCAAAAACCCAUCCGACAUUUCCUUAGCAAACCCGGAGGUGGUUUUUCUUCCACCGCUUUCCCAGCGCCACCGCCGACCUCGCGCGCCGGUGCUGCGACCAACCUCUCGCCGCUCGGAAAAGCAGCUCUCGACACCCGCGGGGCAGGAAGGCAGGCGGAUGCCUGUGCUCGCAGUCACCCGCCAGCACCUGGGCGGACGCGUUAAAACAACGCCGUUCCCCGGCUCGUCCCGUCUCCCGGCGGUGCCGCCGAAACCUGCUCCGGCACGCUGCUCCCACCGCGGGAACGGCUCAAGAAUGCCAGAAGGAAAAAAAAAGGAAGAAGAAAAAAAAAAAGGCCGCUUCGAGAAUUAAAUAUUUUUCUGCAAAACGA